Molecule: non-coding RNA, 85 nt
Organism: Felis catus (domestic cat)
Lineage: Eukaryota; Metazoa; Chordata; Mammalia; Carnivora; Felidae
Source: Rfam
GCCUGAGUGGCUUAGUCAGUUAAGCCUCUGACUCUCGUUCAGGUCAUGAUCUCUCGGUGUGUGGGUUCAAGCCCUGCGUCAGGCU